Molecule: ribosomal RNA, 737 nt
Filed under: Proteiniclasticum sp. enrichment culture
Lineage: Bacteria; Bacillati; Bacillota; Clostridia; Eubacteriales; Clostridiaceae
Description: bacterial SSU rRNA
Rfam family: Bacterial small subunit ribosomal RNA
Source: RNAcentral
GACGAACGCUGGCGGCGUGCCUAACACAUGCAAGUCGAGCGGAGAAUGCAAGAUGUUUACAUUGAGCAUUCUUAGCGGCGGACGGGUGAGUAACACGUGGGUAACCUGCCUCAGAGUGGGGGAUAGCCUUUCGAAAGGAAGAUUAAUACCGCAUAAGCUUGUAGCAUCGCAUGGUGCAGCAAGAAAAGGAGCAAUCCGCUCUGAGAUGGACCCGCGGCGCAUUAGCUAGUUGGUGAGGUAACGGCUCACCAAGGCCACGAUGCGUAGCCGACCUGAGAGGGUGAUCGGCCACAUUGGAACUGAAACACGGUCCAGACUCCUACGGGAGGCAGCAGUGGGGAAUAUUGCACAAUGGGCGAAAGCCUGAUGCAGCAACGCCGCGUGAGUGAUGAAGGCUUUCGAGUCGUAAAGCUCUUUGAUCAGGGAUGAUAAUGACAGUACCUGAAAAACAAGCCACGGCUAACUACGUGCCAGCAGCCGCGGUAAUACGUAGGUGGCGAGCGUUGUCCGGAAUUACUGGGCGUAAAGGAUGCGUAGGUGGAUAUUUAAGUGGGAUGUGAAAUCCCCGGGCUCAACCCGGGAACUGCAUUCCAAACUGGAUAUCUAGAGUGCAGGAGAGGAAAGCGGAAUUCCUAGUGUAGCGGUGAAAUGCGUAGAUAUUAGGAGGAACACCAGUGGCGAAGGCGGCUUUCUGGACUGUAACUGACACUGAGGCAUGAAAGCGUGGGUAGCAAACA